RNAcentral lists this ribosomal RNA (236 nucleotides) under uncultured bacterium. Its description in RNAcentral is "partial 16S ribosomal RNA". It matches the Rfam family "Bacterial small subunit ribosomal RNA", at positions 221 to 454 of the family's 1533-position model. The record is from RNAcentral.
UGGGAUGGCCCCGCGGUGCAUUAGCUAGNUUGGUAAGGUAACGGCUUACCAAGGCGAUGAUGCAUAGCCGAGUUGAGAGACUGAUCGGCCACAUUGGGACUGAGACACGGCCCAAACUCCUACGGGAGGCAGCAGUAGGGAAUCUUCCACAAUGGACGCAAGUCUGAUGGAGCAACGCCGCGUGAGUGAAGAAGGUUUUCGGAUCGUAAAGCUCUGUUGNUUGGUGAAGAAGGAUA